AACCAGCAAAAUCAUCUUCUGAUCAGCAACUCAACUCGUCAGAAACUCUCCAGAAAUUCUGCAGCUUCUUCCCUUUUUCUCUUCUUUCUUUUGUGUAUUUUGCCCACCAUGAGUGGCUAGUUUCACUCUUUUCUAGUUGAAGUUGGUGAAUUUCAGAUUUUGUGAUGAAUUGGGAGAUUUAAAUCUCCAUUGUUAAACUCUUAUUUACUUUCAAUAUUUAUGCAAUUUGAUCUUUCCAUAAUUGUUGCUUUGCUUUUAGAAUCAAUUUAGGCCUAUUGCUUUUAAUUGCUUGAGUAACAAUUGUUUGAAUAAUUUAGGUCCGUAAUUGCUUAGGUUGUUCAAAUACACAUUUAAUCAAAUUGCAUAAUCUAAACUUGACCACGCGGUUGGCAAGGAUAGAAUUGGGUUUCUCUAAGUCUUAAUGCAGUCAACAGUUGUUCGAUGCUAUAAUGCCCCAAGGACGUUCCUUGGCAACUUGUUGAUUAGUGUUUGAUUAGCGAACGUUUCCUAAUCAAACUA
This 519-nucleotide long non-coding RNA is filed under the name Manihot esculenta (cassava). RNAcentral describes it as "long non-coding RNA (MESC_LNC003596)". Lineage: Eukaryota; Viridiplantae; Streptophyta; Magnoliopsida; Malpighiales; Euphorbiaceae. The record is from RNAcentral.